UCCGCCCGCUGGCGGCGUGCCUAAUACAUGCAAGUAGAACGCACAGUUUAUACCGUAGCUUGCUACACCAUAGACUGUGAGUUGCGAACGGGUGAGUAACGCGUAGGUAACCUGCCUGGUAGCGGGGGAUAACUAUUGGAAACGAUAGCUAAUACCGCAUAAUAUUAAUUAUUGCAUGAUAAUUAAUUGAAAGGUGCAAUUGCACCACUACCAGAUGGACCUGCGUUGUAUUAGCUAGUAGGUGAGGUAACGGCUCACCUAGGCGACGAUACAUAGCCGACCUGAGAGGGUGAUCGGCCACACUGGGACUAAGACACGGCCCAGACUCCUACGGGAGGCAGCAGUAGGGAAUCUUCGGCAAUGGACGAAAGUCUGACCGAGCAACGCCGCGUGAGUGAAGAAGGGUUUCGGAUCGUAAAGCUCGGUUGUAAGAGAAGAACGGGUGUGAGAGUGGAAAGUUCACACUGUGACGGUAUCUUACCAGAAAGGGGCGGCUAACUACGUG
Molecule: ribosomal RNA, 505 nt
Filed under: uncultured bacterium
Lineage: Bacteria
Description: partial 16S ribosomal RNA
Rfam family: Bacterial small subunit ribosomal RNA
Source: RNAcentral